GACGAACGCUGGCGGCGUGCUUAACACAUGCAAGUCGAACGGAAAGGCCCUGCUUUUGUGGGGUGCUCGUGUGGCGAACGGGUGAGUAACACGUGAGUAACCUGCCCUUGACUUUGGGAUAACUUCAGGAAACUGGGGCUAAUACCGGAUAGGAGCUCCUGCUGCAUGGUGGGGGUUGGAAAGUUUCGGCGGUUGGGGCUGGAUUCGCGGCUUAUCAGCUUGUUGGUGGGGUAGUGGCUUACCAAGGCUUUGACGGGUAGCCCGCCUGAGAGGGUGACCGGCCACAUUGGUACUGAGAUAGGGACCAGACUCCUACGGGAGGCAGCAGUGGGGAAUAUUGCACAGUGGGCGGAAGCGUGAGGCAGCAACGCCGCGUGCGGGAUGACGGCCUUCGGGUUGUAAACCGAUUUCGCCUGUGACGAAGAGUGAGUGACGGUAAUGGGUAAAGAAGCACCGGCUAACUACGUG
Molecule: ribosomal RNA, 468 nt
Filed under: uncultured bacterium
Lineage: Bacteria
Description: partial 16S ribosomal RNA
Rfam family: Bacterial small subunit ribosomal RNA
Source: RNAcentral